UACAGAGGUUGCAAGCGUUAAUCGGCAUUACUGGGCGUAAAGCGCGCGUAGGUUGCAAGUUAAGUCGGAUGUGAAAGCCCUGGGCUCAACCUAGGAAUUGCAUUCGAUACUGGCUAGCUCGAGUUUGGUAGAGGAGAGUGGAAUUCCCGGGGGAGCGGUGAAAUGCGUAGAUAUCGGGAGGAACAUCAGUGGCGAAGGCGGCUCUCUGGACCAAAACUGACACUGAGGCGCGACAGCGUGGGGAUCAAACAGG
RNAcentral lists this ribosomal RNA (253 nucleotides) under uncultured bacterium. Its description in RNAcentral is "partial 16S ribosomal RNA". It matches the Rfam family "Bacterial small subunit ribosomal RNA", at positions 524 to 776 of the family's 1533-position model. The record is from RNAcentral.